GUGGGCAUGGCCGACUCCACCAGAGUGUGUAAAUAAACCAUCAUCAGAUGGGCCAGCGCUGGAUCUGCUUGUGAAGGGCGCCAGGAUCAAACUUGGGGAAAUGGAAUCCUGGGAGCCCUUGGGUUCUGUGCCUGGUAGGGCUGGGAGCUCACAGGCACAGGGUGAGGAGGCCAGGCAGCAGACAGAACUGGGAACUCAGGCCUAACAGAGGAAAAGGAGCUUCCACCCUCCUACAGUCCGGGAUAUGAUUCGCACGGGGAGGGUGUCAGCUUCCCAGGCCACAGAGCAGCGCGAGGCUGACUCUGCACCCGGCCACCUCUCUGCUCCAACCAUCAUCUGAAGUGCUGGCUUGCAGUGGCUCCCUAGACCUUAAGCCCUUGACCCUGAGGCACCAGAACACGCAGCCACCCUUGUGGGUAGAUAGCGUCAGGCAGUUGAUGGCAGGGAGAAGAGCCCAGGCCCCUCCGGAAGGAGCGUGCAGGUGUGGUGGGUGUGACGACAACCUCAUCUUUAGGGCCCUGCCUGGAGAGCUGCUUCCAGAAAGGAAAGUGAACCACUGAGGCUGGGGGUGUCUCAGCAGCCUCCAGUCCAGAGGAGCGUGGAAACCAACACCUGUUGACAGCAUGGCCAUCGGCUCCCUCUCCUUUGGCCUCCCGGGAUCCCCUCCUACAAUGAGCUUCCUCUGGUCUAUGAGAGGCAUCCUGAGUUCACUGACUAAGCGCACUGAAUCAGAAUAAGAUUUUACCCCUUAUCUUAAGAACAAUUCUAUUAAGUGCCAAGUUCUGUUACGGAGUCCUGGGUGCAGCUGGAGUCCAAGGCUUUUAAAACAGGAGCCUGUGAGCUGGGUGUGGUGGUCACACCCAUAAUGCCAGUGAGUCCGAGGCUGAGGCAGGAGGGUUACAAAUUCAAGGCCAGCCUCAGCAACUUAAUGAGGCUCCAAACAACUUAGAGAGACCCUGUCUCAAAUAAAAGGAGGGUGUGUGUGUGCUGGAGAUGUGGUUCAGUGGUUAAGCACCCCCGGAUUCAGUGCUCAGUAUCAAACAAUCAAAGAGCCUGAGAAGGCUGGAGCAGGAAGGAGGAAGGACUCAGUUACGUCUUAAGGAUGGUGGUGGGCAGCACAACAGUCCCCAGUGGUCCCUAAUCGGAAUCCAUUUAACCUGGGACACCGCCACACCAAAUGGCAAAGGGGACUUGAGGUCACCAAUGGAACUGAGGUUGCUGAUCAGCUGGACUUAAGAUGGC
This 1242-nucleotide long non-coding RNA is filed under the name Marmota monax (woodchuck). The record is from RNAcentral. Lineage: Eukaryota; Metazoa; Chordata; Mammalia; Rodentia; Sciuridae.